This 496-nucleotide ribosomal RNA is filed under the name uncultured bacterium. RNAcentral's name for it is "partial 16S ribosomal RNA". It matches the Rfam family "Bacterial small subunit ribosomal RNA", at positions 29 to 507 of the family's 1533-position model. The record is from RNAcentral.
AUGCACGCUGGCGGCGUGCCUCAUACCUGCCAGUCGAGCGAACAGAUGAGGAGCUUGCUCCUCUGACGUUAGCGGCGGACGGGUGAGUAACACGUGGAUAACCUACCUAUAAGACUGGGAUAACUUCGGGAAACCGGAGCUAAUACCGGAUAAUAUAUUGAACCGCAUGGUUCAAUAGUGAAAGACGGUUUUGCUGUCACUUAUAGAUGGAUCCGCGCCGCAUUAGCUAGUUGGUAAGGUAACGGCUUACCAAGGCAACGAUGCGUAGCCGACCUGAGAGGGUGAUCGGCCACACUGGAACUGAGACACGGUCCAGACUCCUACGGGAGGCAGCAGUAGGGAAUCUUCCGCAAUGGGCGGAAGCUUGACGGAGCAACGCCGCGUGAGUGAUGAAGGUCUUCGGAUCGUAAAACUCUGUUAUUAGGGAAGAACAAAUGUGUAAGUAACUAUGCACGUCUUGACGGUACCUAAUCAGAAAGCCACGGCUAACUACGUG